GAGAUAACUCCUACGGGAGGCAGCAGUGGGGAAUUUUGGACAAUGGGGGCAACCCUGAUCCAGCAAUGCCGCGUGAGUGAAGAAGGCCUUCGGGUUGUAAAGCUCUUUUGUCAGGGAAGAAACGGUAGUAGCUAAUAUCUAUUACUAAUGACGGUACCUGAAGAAUAAGCACCGGCUAACUUCGUGCCAGCAGCCGCGGUAAUACGUAGGGUGCAAGCGUUAAUCGGAAUUACUGGGCGUAAAGCGUGCGCAGGCGGUUGUGUAAGUCAGAUGUGAAAUCCCCGGGCUCAACCUGGGAAUUGCAUUUGAGACUGCACGGCGAGAGUGUGUCAGAGGGGGGUAGAAUUCCACGUGUAGCAGUGAAAUGCGUAGAUAUGUGGAGGAAUACCGAUGGCGAAGGCAGCCCCGUGGGAUAACACUGACGCUCAUGCACGAAAGCGUGGGGAGCAAACAGGAUUAGAUACCCUGGUAGUCAUCCACU
Molecule: ribosomal RNA, 481 nt
Filed under: uncultured bacterium
Lineage: Bacteria
Description: bacterial SSU rRNA
Rfam family: Bacterial small subunit ribosomal RNA
Source: RNAcentral